RNAcentral lists this ribosomal RNA (690 nucleotides) under uncultured Lachnospiraceae bacterium. RNAcentral describes it as "bacterial SSU rRNA". It matches the Rfam family "Bacterial small subunit ribosomal RNA", at positions 55 to 757 of the family's 1533-position model. The record is from RNAcentral. Lineage: Bacteria; Bacillati; Bacillota; Clostridia; Lachnospirales; Lachnospiraceae.
AAGCACUUUAAUCGAUUUCUUCGGAUUGAAAUUUUAGUGACUGAGUGGCGGACGGGUGAGUAACGCGUGGGUAACCUGCCUCACACAGGGGGAUAACAGUUGGAAACGGCUGCUAAUACCGCAUAAGCGCACAGUACCGCAUGGUACAGUGUGAAAAACUCUGGUGGUGUGAGAUGGAUCCGCGUCUGAUUAGCUGGUUGGCAGGGUAACGGCCUACCAAGGCGACGAUCAGUAGCCGACCUGAGAGGGUGACCGGCCACAUUGGGACUGAGACACGGCCCAAACUCCUACGGGAGGCAGCAGUGGGGAAUAUUGCACAAUGGGGGAAACCCUGAUGCAGCGACGCCGCGUGAGCGAAGAAGUAUUUCGGUAUGUAAAGCUCUAUCAGCAGGGAAGAAGAAAUGACGGUACCUGACUAAGAAGCACCGGCUAAAUACGUGCCAGCAGCCGCGGUAAUACGUAUGGUGCAAGCGUUAUCCGGAUUUACUGGGUGUAAAGGGAGCGCAGGCGGAAGGCUAAGUCUGAUGUGAAAGCCCGGGGCUCAACCCCGGUACUGCAUUGGAAACUGGUCAUCUAGAGUGUCGGAGGGGUAAGUGGAAUUCCUAGUGUAGCGGUGAAAUGCGUAGAUAUUAGGAGGAACACCAGUGGCGAAGGCGGCUUACUGGACGAUAACUGACGCUGAGGCUCGAA